RNAcentral lists this long non-coding RNA (434 nucleotides) under Lathyrus oleraceus (garden pea). RNAcentral describes it as "Pisum sativum (pea) long non-coding RNA (PSAT_LNC005051)". Lineage: Eukaryota; Viridiplantae; Streptophyta; Magnoliopsida; Fabales; Fabaceae. The record is from RNAcentral.
UUCAUCAAAACAGCAUCCUCACGGUGUCCCGAUAGUGCCCAGAAACGGAAAAAUAAAACAUGGAUGAGCUAUAUUGAGAAGGGUGUUGUUGUUUAUGGAAUCGGUCGGCCGGAGGGUUUCGCGGUGUGUUGUGGGGAAUGGUGGAGGACGAAAAGGGUGGCCGAAAAUAGUUGGCCGGCGGUCGGUGGUGUUCGUCCGGUUAUGGUUUUAUGAGAGAGAGAUUUACAGUGAGAGGGUGGAAGAUGACGGUGUCGCCGGCGAAAAUGGGUGGUUUGCACGGUGGUGUGGAUGAAGAUAUGGGUGUGGGUGUAAUGGAUGGUGGUUUGGAAGAGGAGAUAGUGGAAGUUGCGGAGGUGAGGUUCGAAGGUAGGUGGAGGCGCGAUUGUGAGUGUCCGUGGAGGAAGCAAAUGAAUAAUGCCUUUUCCAAUUUUUCA